Molecule: long non-coding RNA, 424 nt
Organism: Spinacia oleracea (spinach)
Lineage: Eukaryota; Viridiplantae; Streptophyta; Magnoliopsida; Caryophyllales; Amaranthaceae
Exons: 2
Source: RefSeq, a predicted model, not a curated record
UCAUCAGGUCUAACUUAUCACUUGACACUCUCCUCCUCUCUCUCUCCUCGACAACUCUUUCUCACUCCACUUUGGCCUUCUCUCUUAAUCAUCUCCUGCCUGCUGGUUAAUCUGGUAAUGAGUAAUUGAGUAUCGAUGCUUCAAGAAAACUAGUGGCUAUGGAACAGCAUAUUCAUGGUUUACGUCCGUUAUAUGAAGUUCAUCUACCUUUUUUAAGGAAAGCGGCAGUCUGUGAGUUUUGCAUUACUUCUUGAACUUUCUACUAUAUACUCUAUAUGCAUUACUGGAUAAUGAUCUAUUAUAGGCUACAGUGUGCUAGUUGAGCUUCCACAACGUUAAUUUACCCUAAUUACGUGUUUGUAACCAAAUACGCAUAUAGCCAUAUACACAUACAUAUUGGGUGAUGUUUUUUUGUAGUUGUAAA